GGGGGAAUAUUGCACGAUGGGCGCAAGCCUGAUGCAGCCAUGCCGCGUGUGUGAAGAAGGCCUUCGGGUUGUAAAGCACUUUCAGCGGGGAGGAAGGCGAUAAGGUUAAUAACCUUGUCGAAUGACGUUACCCGCAGAAGAAGCACCGGCUAACUCCGUGCCAGCAGCCGCGGUAAUACGGAGGGUGCAAGCGUUAAUCGGAAUUACUGGGCGGAAAGCGCACGCAGGCGGUCUGUCAAGUCGGAUGUGAAAUCCCCGGGCUUAACCAGGGAACUGCAUUCGAAACUGGCAGGCUAGAGUCUUGUAGAGGGGGGUAGAAUUCCAGGUGUAGCGGUGAAAUGCGUAGAGAUCUGGAGGAAGACCGGUGGCGGAGGCGGCCCCCUGGACAAAGACUGACGCUCAGGUGCGAAAGCGUGGGGAGCAAACAGG
This 429-nucleotide ribosomal RNA is filed under the name Chloroflexota bacterium. RNAcentral describes it as "Chloroflexi bacterium partial 16S ribosomal RNA". It matches the Rfam family "Bacterial small subunit ribosomal RNA", at positions 355 to 776 of the family's 1533-position model. The record is from RNAcentral. Lineage: Bacteria; Bacillati; Chloroflexota.